GACCUGAUGCAGCCAUGCCGCGUGUGUGAAGAAGGCCUUCGGGUUGUAAAGCACUUUCAGUUGUGAGGAAAGGUUGGUAGUUAAUACCUGCCAGCUGUGACGUUAACAACAGAAGAAGCACCGGCUAACUCCGUGCCAGCAGCCGCGGUAAUACGGAGGGUGCGAGCGUUAAUCGGAAUUACUGGGCGUAAAGCGCACGCAGGCGGUUUGUUAAGCUAGAUGUGAAAGCCCCGGGCUCAACCUGGGAUGGUCAUUUAGAACUGGCAGACUAGAGUCUUGGAGAGGGGAGUGGAAUUCCAGGUGUAGCGGUGAAAUGCGUAGAUAUCUGGAGGAACAUCAGUGGCGAAGGCGGCUCCCUGGCCAAAGACUGACGCUCAUGUGCGAAAGUGUGGGUAGCGAACAGGAUUAGAUACCCUGGUAGUCCACACCGUAAACGCUGUCUACUAGCUGUUUGUGAAUUUAAUUCGUGAGUAGCGAAGCUAACGCGCUAAGUAGACCGCCUGGGGAGUACGGCCGCAAGGUUAAAACUCAA
RNAcentral lists this ribosomal RNA (532 nucleotides) under Alteromonas sp. RNAcentral describes it as "bacterial SSU rRNA". It matches the Rfam family "Bacterial small subunit ribosomal RNA", at positions 380 to 904 of the family's 1533-position model. Lineage: Bacteria; Pseudomonadati; Pseudomonadota; Gammaproteobacteria; Alteromonadales; Alteromonadaceae. The record is from RNAcentral.